Molecule: unclassified non-coding RNA, 415 nt
Filed under: Hevea brasiliensis (rubber tree)
Lineage: Eukaryota; Viridiplantae; Streptophyta; Magnoliopsida; Malpighiales; Euphorbiaceae
Source: RNAcentral
GGGAAAUAAGUUUUACAGGUAUUGCUCAUCUUUGAAGAUGUCUCAGAUCAUCUUCAAACAAAUCUUGAUAUUAUGUAACUUUUCUAGUUUUCGAUUCCUAAAUAAAGCAAAAAUUUCCAUCAACUUGAAUUUUGAUAGACAACAAAUACAAAUACACAAAUCCACUAAAAUUUACACAAGCCUGUUAAGUAAUUAAAGCCUCUUCUGGUCUUCAUCUUAAACAAAUCAAGAAGUUGACUCCUCUUCAAGCUCCAUUUUGUGUAUUGUAUAUUCUCUCUCAAACAACAAAAAUUCCUGCAACUGAUUCUGACUGAAGAGACGAAGAAAUCCAAUUUCAGGAUCUGUGACAAGGUUGAUCAACUCCUCAUGGUUAUUAGGUGGAUUACCAGACUCCGCGAGUGAGACAGAAACCUGC